AUUCAUCUAAUCAUGAUCCUUUAUGUGGCUGAUGUUGAAAACGUUUUGUCCCUGCCCACAUCAAUAGCCACACAUCCUACUCCUGCGUUCAACUUUAGCUGGGAGACAUGUCGCAGACAAACACUCAUGUCUUACUGUAACGAAGCAUGCUAUUGAUUUAUGGUCCUCCACGGAGAAAAGGAUUUCUCCCUUUCCACACUAGUAGGAAAAAUUAUUCUGGAAUCCCAUUAAUAAAAACUGUGCUUUUAUACACCCAUUGUCGGUGGCAUAAGAUCCAUAGCAACUCCUAAGAUAUGCAGAGGAAGAUCUCAAAACAGAUGGAAGAAAAUCACUCUUACUUGUUUCAACAAGAUUUUGCAUUUGCUUUGAGCAAAUUCUUAUAUUUUCAUCUGUGCCAGAACAACCUCCAAGCCCCACCCAUACCAGAACACCACAGUCUUGUUAAACAAGUUGCAUUUACGUAUGUUCAGCAUUUAAAGAGCUCCAUAUAAAAAUAACUGCUCAGCAUAGGUGCUUAACCGAAAGGCAACCAUGAACAUUCAUUGGAAAUUCAGAUGUGAAGCUGCAUUGGCAACAUAUUCCCACCAUGGAGAGAUGCAGAAUAUACUGAACAAUACCAGCCUGAGAGAUGCCAAAAGCUACUUUAACAGCUCUUCUGUUACAUUUAUAUUCAGCGUGGAAAUGAAGGAUUCAGCCUCCAUCAUUACAGAAUGGAAACUGAACUGAUGCAUUUGCUAGAAAAAACAAAACUUGAAAACUUCAGUGGAGGAUCUACCUCUGUUUCUCCAAAAUAAACUCUCUUCAUUGAAGAAUUUAGCAAUACAUAUUUUCACAGUAAGUGUCUCUGAGAUUCCUGAGGUACUCAGGAUCCCACAGACAGACAUCAAUGUCUUGAAAAAAAUAUUCAGAAGAAAACUGGGAUGCUGCAGCAGAGCAGAACAGUGGGAUGACAAAGCUUACUGCAUCAAUUCCUGGCCCCUCGUAUGAGCUGCAGCUUUGGAAAGGCUAAUGUCAGAUGCAGUAGGAAAGACCAACAUCACUCUGUGCAAGAUGUAAGUGACUAUGCAAAAGGCAACAGAAAAGGGAACCAAGACCACGGUCCUAGCAGUGGUUUACUUCUGAGCACUGUGGACAUAACUACGCUGUGAAGGAACAUGUUAGAGAACGGGCACAGGAUGGGCCUGUGACUGCCCGCACCGCAACGAGGAGCUGGCUUCAGCGGGACCCACCAGUCUGGGUCCAAACAGCGCAUGGCCACAACUGCUGGGUGAGAUGCCCCAGGCGAUGAGCCCUGCCUGUUCCCGUGCCAGCUUGGUGUCUCUGCACCGCACUUCCCGCGCUCACUGGUGGGGAGCCAUGCGGGAUGCCUGCACCAGGGCGUAGUCGGGUAGCUCAAGUCACCGGCACUUUGAGUAUCCACCUGUUCAGACAUGUGCUGAAAUGGGAGCCACUUCCUUCUGACGGUGGCAGGUCAAAAUAUUCUAUGCAUAUUGCAAAGGACUGAAAGCUAACGCCUGUGCAAACUGUAAUCCAGCCUGUUUCAGCAACUGUCACAGCAAGGUCCCUCACGCCAUCCCGCACCGCGUGCUCCUUUUGUUGUCAGUAUUGUCUUUCCUCUCCUUCAGAAAAUGCUAACUACCUGUGACAUCCUUUCUAACUAGAAAAGAAACUGAAGCGUCCUGCUCCUAAGAGGGAGAUAAACAGAAAUCAAUGUAAUUCAAGCUAUGGAAUAAAAUGUGAGAUAUAAAGUCGAAGCCAAAGUGGGCUCCCAUGAUUUUCAUAGCCAUAUUCACUCCCUCACUGCACCAUUCUUCAGAGUUGAACACUCUGGUGAAUUAUCUGAGCAACACUAGGUGUCAUCCAGUUAUCCUGUACCGCGUUGCCGAGUGACUCACUGAACUGCUACAACGUUUUCUCUGUUGUAGGGCUAGACUUACAGUGCUUUUCAAUUUUGUAUCGGAAACAACUGUAAAUCUACCAAUUUUGCUGGACAACACAGAAUAUAAGCCACCAUUUGCAUGUGUCUGCAUGGUAUUGUUUGUACCCCUCCACCCGUGACAGCUGGCUGAAAGGGCAAGUUGUGCCUGAAAUAUGCAGUAUGAAGCAGUAAGCCUUAAAGAAAUCUAACUUCUAGGGAAACAGACAAAGUGAAAUCAGGAUGAGGUGAAAUUUCUGGAGAAAAUAGCAGUAUUUUCAAAUAUAACUGGCAAUAACUGCAGCAAACACCAGCGUGACCAUACAUGCAGCUGGAAUUUUUUUCCAGGUUGCUCAAGCAGUCCUGAAUCAAGUUUCGGUUUCAGCCAGACUUCUCUCUCUUCCUCUCUCUCUUUCUUUCUCUCUCACUCUCUCUCUCUUUCCUCUCUCGCAGAGUUUCUACACAUACACAUCUCUUUCUUGUCAUUCACCACUGUGCUACAGGCUUUAUGUGAAAAAGGGAUUUAUCAACUAAUCUGAUAUCCAGCUGUACAAAUUGGUAAAUAUGAAUAUUUAUCAUGCAUACUUUAUAGGAAUAAAUAUAUAGCUACAUAGCAUUCCUUCUUA
This is a long non-coding RNA of Dromaius novaehollandiae (emu), 2541 nucleotides long. RefSeq lists it as uncharacterized. The transcript is spliced from 2 exons. NCBI's taxonomy places the organism in Eukaryota, Metazoa, Chordata, Aves, Casuariiformes, Dromaiidae. The record is from RefSeq and is a predicted model, not a curated record.